AGUCCUAUCAUCCUGUGGUCCCAGGGAAGGAGGUCAAAUGCUCCCUCCAUACGGAAGAAGAUAUAACGGGAUCAUACAGAAAGAGGAAAAAAGAGGAAGUUUUUCAUCUUCCAGAAGUGGAGCAAAGAGAUCAGAACUCAAAGGGAUGCAUGGAAAAUCCAGGAUUGGAAGGAGAAUCAUCUUGAGAGAGGGUGUCUAAACUCUGUUCCAGUGAAGAACAGAACUGCUAACUCUAAAAAGUUCCCCUCCUCUCCCAAGAGGAAGACGAUUUGUGGUCAUGCUUCAGGAAUUAUAGACGAGAGAGCACCAUCUAUUGCUGAUACAAGCUGAAGACGUUUGCCUGGCUUCCACCCUGCAGAACUGCUGUCUUCCGCAAUUCAGUUGGUCAUGGUUGAGCGCCAUAUUGGACAUUCCUCAGCCGCCUAUGGCUUUGUGUGGGGCAGUUGGAGAAGAUCUCUUUUGCAGACCUUUCCUAUUAGCCCUGAGCUAACAUCUGCCGCCAAUCCUGCUCUUUUUGCUGAGGAAGACUGGCCCUGAGCUAACAUCCGUGCCCAUCUUCCUCUACUUUAUAUGUGGGACGCCUGCCACAGCAUGGCUUUUGCCAAAUGGUGCCAUGUCCGCACCCAGGAUCCAAACCGGCGAACCCCGGGCCGCGGAGGAGCAGAACGUGCGCACCUAACCACUGCACCAUCGGGCCCGCCCCUGACGCUUUCUUUAAUAUCAAUAAUAUGUCAUACAAAACAAGUCGUCUAAAAGCUAGUAGACUGUAUCUGUGUUGAAAAAUUAAAAAGUGAAAAAAUAUCUGUCAAUCAUUUAGAAAAUUGGCCAGGGCAAUGUUACUCGUCUAGAGCUUUCAAAAUAUUAAUUUUCACUUCUCACCUGGAAAUGUAGGCAUCAGACAGCCUUCUCCUAAUUGUCUGGAGUCUUUCCUUGCAUGCAGCAAAUUCCAAUCAUGGUUUAAGCAGUUGCAACCUUGUUGCAUCAGUUGGAGCAAGACUGGGGAGAAGAAUUUGAAGGCGAAACAAACCACUGGGAUUUUUGUUUUCUUGGGAGAUGGG
Molecule: long non-coding RNA, 1058 nt
Filed under: Equus caballus (horse)
Lineage: Eukaryota; Metazoa; Chordata; Mammalia; Perissodactyla; Equidae
Description: lncRNA (ENSECAG00000057199.1)
Source: RNAcentral